This is a long non-coding RNA of Ictalurus punctatus (channel catfish), 2763 nucleotides long. Lineage: Eukaryota; Metazoa; Chordata; Actinopteri; Siluriformes; Ictaluridae. The record is from Ensembl.
GUGGAGGGAGAUGAAGGUGUCUACAGGAAGCCAGUGGAGGGAGAUGAAGGUGUCUACAGGAAGCCAGUGGAGGGACAUGAAGGUGUCUACAGGAAGCCAGUGGAGGGAGAUGAAGGUGUCUACAGGAAGCCAGUGGAGGGACAUGAAGAGGAGUGUGACAUGGGUCCUUUUGGGCUGGUUGAAGACCAGCAUGCUGCUAUUUAUAUGGAUUAUAUAUAUAUAUAUAUAAAAAUAAAAACACCACAUCUCUGUUAAACAGUACAUCUAUACUUUAUUAGCAAAUAGGCAAGCAAAUUAAAAUCAAUAAAAAUAUGUGGAGACACUGUUAAACAUAUGCCCUUUCAAUAUCACAGUCUAAUUAUUAAAACAUUAAAUAAUAACAAAAUUUCACCUUGGUUUACAUUUGGAAAUGGAGGUUUAUUUUUUUUAUUUUUUUCCCCCCUUCCGUCUUCUCUUUUCAAAUCCGUACGUACAGAACAUAUUGCUCAGAAAUGUGUAUAUAUUUUUCCGUCGUUCUUUGAUCGGGACUCUCUCGGGAUCGCUGUUUCACCUUUACAGGCCGUGCGUAGGAGAGAACGCGUCAGAAACGAGUUCCCAUAUACGAGUGACUACAUCACCGAAGCCACCAGACUGAACCCGGUAUACACCUGCUGGGUUCCUCGGAGGAUCUGAUUAACCCCGCCGAAUCCGGAGAUGUUUCGAAGCACGAAAGACGAGAUACCAGGACACGUCGGCGGUUUUCCUUAAACGUCUCGGGAAUUCCCGAACACGUCGAGACGUUAAGCCGUAGAGCUGCGUGUCGGGAAGCGUAACGUUAUUCCGACAAUUUACACACGUGUGAAAGAAAAAAAUAAAAAAUCAAAAAACAGAAUCAGACUCGUCUUAUUUGUGUGUUUUAAUUUAAUCGAUCAAUUUAUGUCAACAUUGUGAUACACGCUCGGAUUCCGUUAUUCAUUCCCUGGUCAAGUUUAUACCGGGUGUUUGACUGCUCAAUUCCGUGGAGAUUUUUUCCCGCCUUUACCGUCGAGCUAUUCUGUAAUAUUACACUUCCGGUUUGCAGAAAUAUCACGAUAUCGAUAUUUCCGUCAUAUCGCCAGCCCUACUAGCUGAAAGUCUUUAUAUCGCUGUGGAUCCACAUCAUUCCUCAUUGCUGUAACACAGCAUGAGUACAGAUUUAACCCUCACGCUCCAUCCAUCCAUCCAUCUUCCAUACCGCUUAUCCUACACAUGGCUGUAGUGGAGUGUGAAGCCUAUCCCAGGGGACUCGGGCCGCAAGGUGGGGUGCACCACCGACGGGGUCCCGAAUCAUCGCAGGGCACGAUCACACACAGCGUGGACUGCAAGCUUCGAACCCUCAACCCUGGAGGUGCGAGACAAACGUUCUAUCCGCUGAUCCCCUAGUUUAAUAAGACACUGUCCCCCAUUCUUAACCUUUAAUUAUUAAAAAAACGCUUUUUUUUUUUUUUUUUUUUAAAAGGUACAUCAACGUCAAGGUUUAACAGAGACCGUGUCAUCCGAGAGCUGUUCCCGAAUUCUCCGAAAGCAUCGCAGGACAAAAUGUCGCCAUAAAAACCUCAGACAGGGCUUCAAUAGUCAAUCAUUUGGAAACGGUUCAAAUAUUUCUUUCAGCCUCAGCACUUUUCUGGGAUUCCGCACUGAUUACAAAGUAAGCCAGUCUGGUUUUCAUCCCAUUAGAGAGUCAGGAGCGGUCGGCAGGUCUGGCCUUACAUUCCUCACCGUCGUUACUACGUACCUCUUGUACUUUCAGCGUAGUUACUCAAUAAUUCAUAUUCUUUAAGGUGAGCGAGUAAAUAAUAACGCGGGACUUUACGGGGUUGCGUUUGUUUCGUGUUUCAGACGACACGCCGCGUAAAUAUCAUUAUUAAUCUUAUUAUUGUUAUCUUAUGCUGAAUAACUGAAUGUCGAUGGUCGGAUUAUUUCCUUAUGAUUGUUAGUGAGGAGACUGGGGUAGCUAACAGCUCGGCAGUUCGGUGCAGGUCCGGCUGCCGAAACGUUCCGGAUGCUUCUGGGAGAGCAGGAACAGGAACUUACACUCAAUUUUGUUACAGCUUAUGAACACACAUUCUGCCGAACUUGACAAAAGACAUCACAGGAUUGUAGUGUAGUUUUAUACUGCGCUCUCUGGUGUGUGUGUGUGUGUGUGAACGAACUCCAGGGGUCCUGUAGGUGGGUUAUGGUGGUGUGUCACAGUGGGGGGUGUAACAUGUCUACUGGCACUGCUGCUCUCAGAGCUUCUGAGUGACACACACACACACACACACCACACACACACAGCCCUUCGCACAUGAAAGGAGUGGUUGACCAUUCUGUGUGAUGGAUGGGAUGAGAAGACUGAGUCAACGCUGGAUCAGAACAAAGCCUGGCUUGAUUAGGCCUCCCUAUGGGGGGGCAGCACUCUGCUCCAGGCUAUCAGAUCCAACACACACACACACUCUCACACACACUCUCACACACACACUCCUUCUAUCAGCUGGCAUUUAAUCAGCAAAUGCAGCACCAAAGCCAACAGAUCUGGACUUAAUUAAACUAAUCAACCUUCUUAAUGAGCAUUUUUCAGAUUUAAGUCUGAGACGAUCUCUCACACACACACACACACACACACACCACUGAGAUCAUUUCUCUUUAAAAAUAUCCAGGCGGAUCGGAACAGAGGAUCAAGCAGUGUUCUGGGUGAGAGUCUGUGUGUAAGACACAGAGAGACGGGACGAAGCGGCGGGGUUUGAUGUGGCGAUGCUGGGGGGG